Molecule: ribosomal RNA, 474 nt
Filed under: uncultured bacterium
Lineage: Bacteria
Description: bacterial SSU rRNA
Rfam family: Bacterial small subunit ribosomal RNA
Source: RNAcentral
ACUCCUACGGGAGGCAGCAGUGGGGAAUAUUGGGCAAUGGGCGAAAGCCUGAUCCAGCCAUGCCGCGUGUGUGAAGAAGGUCUUCGGAUUGUAAAGCACUUUAAGUUGGGAGGAAGGGCAGUAAGUUAAUACCUUGCUGUUUUGACGUUACCAACAGAAUAAGCACCGGCUAACUUCGUGCCAGCAGCCGCGGUAAUACGAAGGGUGCAAGCGUUAAUCGGAAUUACUGGGCGUAAAGCGCGCGUAGGUGGUUCAGCAAGUUGGAUGUGAAACUCCCCCGGGCUCAACCUGGGAACUGCAUCCAAAACUACUGAGCUAGAGUACGGUAGAGGUGUGGAAUUUCCUGUGUAGCGGUGAAAUGCGUAGAUAUAGGAAGGAACACCAGUGGCGAAGGCGACCACCUGGACUGAUACUGACACUGAGGUGCGAAAGCGUGGGAGCAAACAGGAUUAGAUACCCCGUGGUAGACUGUCA